UACGAAGGGUGCUAGCGUUGCUCGGAAUUACUGGGCGUAAAGCGCACGUAGGCGGCUUUCUAAGUCGGGGGUGAAAUCCUGGAGCUCAACUCCAGAACUGCCUUCGAUACUGGAGAGCUCGAGUCCGGGAGAGGUGAGUGGAACUGCGAGUGUAGAGGUGAAAUUCGUAGAUAUUCGCAAGAACACCAGUGGCGAAGGCGGCUCACUGGCCCGGUACUGACGCUGAGGUGCGAAAGCGUGGGGAGCAAACAGG
This 253-nucleotide ribosomal RNA is filed under the name uncultured bacterium. RNAcentral's name for it is "partial 16S ribosomal RNA". It matches the Rfam family "Bacterial small subunit ribosomal RNA", at positions 524 to 776 of the family's 1533-position model. The record is from RNAcentral.